This 90-nucleotide transfer RNA is filed under the name Oscillospiraceae bacterium. Its description in RNAcentral is "tRNA-Ser". It matches the Rfam family "tRNA". Rfam says of the family: Transfer RNA (tRNA) molecules are approximately 80 nucleotides in length. Their secondary structure includes four short double-helical elements and three loops (D, anti-codon, and T loops). Further hydrogen bonds mediate the characteristic L-shaped molecular structure. tRNAs have two regions of fundamental functional importance: the anti-codon, which is responsible for specific mRNA codon recognition, and the 3' end, to which the tRNAs corresponding amino acid is attached (by aminoacyl-tRNA synthetases). tRNAs cope with the degeneracy of the genetic code in two manners: having more than one tRNA (with a specific anti-codon) for a particular amino acid; and 'wobble' base-pairing, i.e. permitting non-standard base-pairing at the 3rd anti-codon position. The record is from RNAcentral. Lineage: Bacteria; Bacillati; Bacillota; Clostridia; Eubacteriales; Oscillospiraceae.
GGAGAGGUCGCCUAGCUUGGUCGAGGGCGCAUGAUUGGAAAUCAUGUAAGCUGCAAGGCUUCGAGGGUUCGAAUCCCUCUCUCUCCGCCA